RNAcentral lists this long non-coding RNA (716 nucleotides) under Vulpes vulpes (red fox). RNAcentral describes it as "lncRNA (ENSVVUG00000013749.1)". The record is from RNAcentral. Lineage: Eukaryota; Metazoa; Chordata; Mammalia; Carnivora; Canidae.
CAAAGCCAGCUGUUUUUAAGUUCCAUUAGGAGCCAGUAUUAAAAUAAAAGUAAAUAUUAAGUCUGAACUUACUUCUAUUUUACAAAUAUUGUCAUUGAUUUUUAAAAAUACUUUGCCUGAUUUAUCUUUUCAAUUUCAACUUCUUCAACUUGAUUGUAAAAUAUUUUUUCUUCUCAUUUUGUGUGUCAAAUAGAACGUGUUUCUCCCCGGAAAUAAGAUUCUUUGAGCUACCCUCAUGACUUCAGCUACCACAUCUUCCUUUCGAAGACUCCAAAAUAUCCUAAAGAAGUGUUGGGGUGGAAAGAGGAUGGAGAAUAGUGCUCCACCAUGCAGACGUUCUAAUCUCGAUGACCCAGACAAUCUCCACAUCUGGUCUUAGAUUGACAGAACUGAAUCUCUACGACAUAACGUUGUCAUGUGGAUCACAUGGGCCUCCAGCCCUCCCAGGUUUAGGCUGCAGACAAGUAGUUAAUGAACAGGUCAAGUGCCUGGAGCACCCUUCUAAGACUGCAUUCAGUCAUUACCAAGAUAAUCAAUUGAGACUGAAGAAAGAGAAAUUAAGGAGCCAAUCCCAUUUACAAUUGCACCCAGGCAUAAGAUACCUAGGAAUAAACCUAACCAAAGAGGUAAAGGAUCUAUACCCUAAAAACUACAGAACACUUCUGAAAGAAAUUGAGGAAGACACAAAGAGAUGGAAAAGCAUUCAAGGCUCAUGG